UUACAGCCAUAUCAAAUUGAAACACUGGUACUCAUAUAAUCACUGAAGUUAAGCAAUGCCGAGCCUGGUCAGUACCUAUGUGGGUGACAUCUUGGGAAUAGCAGGUGCU
This is a non-coding RNA of Acanthosepion pharaonis, 109 nucleotides long. The record is from the annotation of a GenBank genome assembly. Lineage: Eukaryota; Metazoa; Mollusca; Cephalopoda; Sepiida; Sepiidae.